RNAcentral lists this ribosomal RNA (373 nucleotides) under uncultured organism. RNAcentral's name for it is "bacterial SSU rRNA". It matches the Rfam family "Bacterial small subunit ribosomal RNA", at positions 526 to 896 of the family's 1533-position model. The record is from RNAcentral.
CGUAGGGCGCAAGCGUUGUCCGGAAUUAUUGGGCGUAAAGAGCUCGUAGGCGGCUUGUCACGUCGGAUGUGAAAGCCCGAGGCUUAACCUCGGGUCUGCAUUCGAUACGGGCUAGCUAGAGUGUGGUAGGGGAGAUCGGAAUUCCUGGUGUAGCGGUGAAAUGCGCAGAUAUCAGGAGGAACACCGGUGGCGAAGGCGGAUCUCUGGGCCAUUACUGACGCUGAGGAGCGAAAGCGUGGGGAGCGAACAGGAUUAGAUACCCUGGUAGUCCACGCCGUAAACGUUGGGAACUAGGCGUUGGCGACAUUCCACGUCGUCGGUGCCGCAGCUAACGCAUUAAGUUCCCCGCCUGGGGAGUACGGCCGCAAGGCUA